Molecule: ribosomal RNA, 775 nt
Filed under: uncultured Neocallimastigales
Lineage: Eukaryota; Fungi; Neocallimastigomycota; Neocallimastigomycetes; Neocallimastigales
Description: partial large subunit ribosomal RNA
Rfam family: Eukaryotic large subunit ribosomal RNA
Source: RNAcentral
GUAGUCUCGCACAGAUGCAUAUCAAUAAGCGGAGGAAAAGAAACUAACAAGGAUUCCCCUAGUAACGGCGAGUGAAGCGGGAAGAGCUCAAAUUUGAAAUCUUAAAGGGUUUCCCUUUACGAAUUGUAGUUUAAAGAAGUGUUUUCUGUUGAGGUUUUGGUAAAAGUUCUUUGGAAUAGGACAUCAUAGAGGGUGAGAAUCCCGUAUUUGACCUUUACUUUCAACUUUGUGAUACACUUUCAAAGAGUCGGAUUGUUUGGGAAUGCAGUCCAAAAUGGGUGGUAAAUUUCAUCUAAAGCUAAAUAUUGGCGAGAGACCGAUAGCGAACAAGUACCGUGAGGGAAAGAUGAAAAGAACUUUGAAAAGAGAGUUAAACAGUACGUGAAAUUGUCAAAAGGGAAGCGUUUGACACCAGUGUUGUUUUUCUGAAAAUCAAUUAAAGAACUGUUUAUGCUAAGCUGUUUAGACUUUAUCAGCUAACUGUUUAGUUUUGAGCUUUUCUUUAAUGCACUUUUCAGGUUAACAAGUCAACAUCAAUUUCUUUUGCUGUAAAAAAGCUUGAGGAAGGUGGCUUGAGAUUCGUCUUAAGUGUUUAUAGCCUCUUGCCUAUGCAGUCGGAGAGAUUGAGGUCUGCAGCGUAGAUCCUUCGGGGCUAAAUGCAUUUGUGCUAAGUUAUAGCAUUUUAUAGACAACUUGUUGACUAUGAUUUGUCUUGUAGCUUACUCGCUUAUGUUAUUUUACCUACGCUUAGGAUGUUGAGUAGCGACAUACGCAC